Molecule: ribosomal RNA, 442 nt
Filed under: uncultured bacterium
Lineage: Bacteria
Description: SSU rRNA
Rfam family: Bacterial small subunit ribosomal RNA
Source: RNAcentral
AGAUUGAACGCUGGCGGCAUGCUUUACACAUGCAAGUCGAGCGCCCCGCAAGGGGAGCGGCAGACGGGUGAGUAACGCGUGGGAACAUACCCUCCGGUUCGGAAUAGCUCAGGGAAACUUGGAUUAAUACCGGAUACGGUCGAGAGGCGAAAGAUUCAUCGCCAAUGGAUUAGCCCGCGUAGGAUUAGCUAGUUGGUGGGGUAAAGGCUCACCAAGGCUCCGAUCCUUAGCUGUUCUGAGAGGAAGAUCAGCCACACUGGGACUGAGACACGGCCCAGACUCCUACGGGAGGCAGCAGUUGGGAAUCUUGGACAAUGGGGGAAACCCUGAUCCAGCCAUGCCGCGUGAGUGAUGAAGGCCUUCGGGUUGUAAAACUCUUUCGACGGGGACGAUAAUGACGUACCGUAGAAGAAGCUCCGGCUAACUUCGUGCCAGCAGCCGC